CCUACGGGAGGCAGCAGUAGGGAAUAUUGGGCAAUGGAGGCAACUCUGACCCAGCCAUGCCGCGUGCAGGAAGACGGUCCUCUGGAUUGUAAACUGCUUUUGAAUGGGAAGAACACCACUCUUGCGAGAGUGAUUGACGGGUACUAUUAGAAUAAGCACCGGCUAACUCCGUGCCAGCAGCCGCG
RNAcentral lists this ribosomal RNA (185 nucleotides) under uncultured bacterium. RNAcentral's name for it is "partial 16S ribosomal RNA". It matches the Rfam family "Bacterial small subunit ribosomal RNA", at positions 338 to 519 of the family's 1533-position model. The record is from RNAcentral.